ACUCCGUACGGGGAGGCAGCAGGUGGGGGAAUAUUGGACAAUGGGCGAAAGCCUGAUCCAGCCAUGCCGCGUGUGUGAAGAAGGUCUUCGGAUUGUAAAGCACUUUAAAGUUGGGAGGAAGGGCAGUUACCUAAUACGUGAUUGUUUUGACGUUACCGACAGAAUAAGCACCGGCUAACUCUGUGCCAGCAGCCGCGGUAAUACAGAGGGUGCAAGCGUUAAUCGGGAAUUACUGGGCGUAAAGCGCGCGUAGGUGGUUAGUUAAGUUGGAUGUGAAAUCCCCGGGGCUCAACCUGGGGAACUGCAUUCAAAACUGACUGACUAGAGUAUGGUAGAGGGUGGUGGAAUUUCCUGUGUAGCGGUGAAAUGCGUAGAUAUAGGAAGGAACACCAGU
This 394-nucleotide ribosomal RNA is filed under the name uncultured bacterium. Its description in RNAcentral is "bacterial SSU rRNA". It matches the Rfam family "Bacterial small subunit ribosomal RNA", at positions 335 to 713 of the family's 1533-position model. The record is from RNAcentral.